This is a long non-coding RNA of Vigna radiata var. radiata (mung bean), 1851 nucleotides long. RefSeq lists it as uncharacterized. NCBI's taxonomy places the organism in Eukaryota, Viridiplantae, Streptophyta, Magnoliopsida, Fabales, Fabaceae. The record is from RefSeq and is a predicted model, not a curated record. The transcript has 3 exons.
UUUAUGGCAAUAAAUGUGGAAGAGCUCAAUGCUGAGAAGGUCAAAUUGAGGGUUAAAAGAGUAUUGGAAAUAGUAUCAAGAAAAGGUGCUAAGCGGUGCUGGAAUCACUCUUUUCGUACCGGUGGGUGAUGCCUCAGUUACGCAGACCGUCUUUGAUCAGAACCCUGUUGCCAUUUUUGGGGUUUCCGAGGUUUUCUUGCCGAGGGAGAUCUUUGGCAGGAAUCCGAUAGCCACUGCGAAGCCUCUUGAAGAGUAGCUAAUUUCGUUUGGUACAGGAGAUUGUGCUGGUUGCUUCUUACUGUUAUCUUACACCUAGAUGACCGUCAGGUAGUUCUUUCUUUUUAAACUAUAAUUGAGGAUUACAUGUUCAGUAGCCUUGACCUGCAAUCUAAGUGCAAAUAAUACAAAAUAACAUCAUACAGUGGAAGUUACAUCAUAUUAUUUGUAAAAAGAGAAAUAGUUAAUUUGAUGUCAACAGUUUUGUAAUUGUUGGAUAUUAUCUGCCGAAUGCAUUGCAUUGAUUUGUAGCUUUUCAGAGUUUAGGGAAUUUCUUGCUGUAGCUUUGNGUUAUAUAGUAUGANCUGUGCUUAGCAUUUGCUAGUGCUCUGUUUACACUAUACAGGAAUGACUUUUCUUGUUUUUACAACUUAAUGGUUAAUCGUAAUCUGUUUUAAAAUACAUAAUUGCAAAAACUCAGUUUCAAGUAGAUUGGUCAAUUGUGUAUUAGAUGCUUGAAUAGAAUUGACAUGUUAUGGCACUCGAAACUGAUCACAUUUAUACUAUGCUGCUAGUUUGAUCUGUUGUCGUUGAACGCAUUACAUGUUCUUCUUGAUCACUGAUUCAAUGUUCUGAUUGAAUUAAUUUAUGGUCUUCAUUGUUUGCUAUUUUGCAAGUACUGUAGAACCGGGGCUAAUAAACUGGUCUGAGUUAAGACCAUAGAAUAUGAAGCUUAUAGAGUUGUGCUGCAAGCUUGUUGCUAGUAAAGAUCUAAGAUUGCUAGAUUCAUACUUGUUAGAGUCUUAAUAUGCAUGAAGUUACCCUUGUACUUAUUUAGAUCUCGAGAGCCAGCGUGGAUGAUAUAGUCCUGGUGGUGUAAGUUUGGUUUUGAAAGGAUCUAUGGCAAUAACGCUUAUUCAUUAAAAGUGGAAGAGCUCAAUGCUGAGAAGGUCAAACUGAGGGUUAAAAGAGCAUUGGAAAUAGUAUCAAAAGAAAAGGUGGUAACAAAUGAUCCAGUAGUAAAUAUCUCAUUAAGAAUUUGUGAUGUGAUACAACAGAAAAAGAAAAAAAAGGUGAAGUCAUGAAGAUUUGAGGUUAGAGUGGUUGGGUGAACAAACAGGGAAAUAUUACAAUGUUUAAAGAAGAAGAAAACCCCAUUGAAAGAAAGUGAACAGGUGAAUUCUUGGCACUCGCUGGAGGAAGUUUGAGUGGGAAGGAAAUAGUUGCUGCUGGACUGGCAACUCAUUUUGUCCUUUCUGAUGUUUGAUUAUCUUUAGUCUCUGUAAUCUAUGACUUUCUCUUUUCAUAAAGUUUCAUCCAAAAAGGAAAAAUUCAAUCAAAUGAAUUUCAAUUAUAACAAAUAUGCUUAUCAGUUUAAAAAGAAAACCUCAUCUUGUUUUAGGCCUAUGGUAAGCAGCUCUAAUAGAUUUGUUUACAUUUUCGGUUUUCUGCUCUCAGGACAUUGAUCCAUUGAAAUAAUGUCUUGUCAAAUUUGUAUGAAAAAGGAGAAAAAUUAGUAAAAGAAGCUCUAAAAGAUAGUACUUGUUUAUGAUGUUUUUCUGUUUGUAGAUAGAAUCAAUUCUCCAAGUUGUAGUAUCAGCUGCACUUUUUCAAUUUGCAAGAAGCUUUUAUUUG